ACCUCUGAUCCUGAUGAUGCUAAUGAUCCUGAAUUUGACGAGUCUGACUUCCAAGUCACACUCUCAAAGCUCCAAAUGUUGCAGGAUGUUGUCUUCAAGCAAGCAGAUGCCAACCUCGAGCGAGCUCAGGCAAAACAGCAGGCUGAUUUUGAAAGAAGGCGAUA
Molecule: long non-coding RNA, 164 nt
Organism: Portunus trituberculatus (swimming crab)
Lineage: Eukaryota; Metazoa; Arthropoda; Malacostraca; Decapoda; Portunidae
Exons: 2
Source: RefSeq, a predicted model, not a curated record